AGUUCGAUCAUGGCUCAGAUUGAACGCUGGCAGGAUGCUUACACAUGCAAGUCGAACGGCGGCACGGACUUCGGUCUGGUGGCGAGUGGCGAACGGGUGAAUGUCAUCGGAACGUGAUGCUAGUAGCGGGGAUAACUGCGCGAAAGCGUAGCUAAUGCCGCAUACGCCCUUCGGGGAAAGCGGGGGACGGGCCUCGCACUGCCAAACGACCACGAUAUCGGAUUAGCUAGUUGGUGGGAGUAACGGCUCACCAAGGCGACGAUCCGUAGCUGGUUUGAGAGGACGACCAGCCACACUGGGACUGAGACACGGCCCAGACUCCUACGGGAGGCAGCAGUGGGGGAAUUUUUGGACAAUGGAAACCUGAUCCAGCCAUCCCGCGUGUGCGAUGAAGGCCUUCGGGUUGUAAAGCACUUUUGGCAGGAAAGAAACGGCACGGGAUAAUACCCCGUGCUGAACUGACGGUACCCAGUCAACGCAAGCUAACUACGUGCCGGCAGCCGCGGUAAUACGUAGAGAUUGCAAGCGUUAAUCGGAAUUACUGGGCGUAAAGCGUGCGCAGGCGGUUCCGGAAAAGAUGUAAAUCGGAAGCUUAACUUGGAACUGCAUUUUAACUACUGAGCUGGUAACGUGUGUCAGAGGGAGGUGGAAUUCGCGAUAUGCGUGAAGUACGUAGAUAUGCGGAGGAACACCGACAAGCGAAGGCAACCUCCUGGGGAUAACACUGACGCUCAUGCACGAAAACGUGGGGAGCAAACAGGAUUAGAUACCCUGGUAGUCCACGCUACAACGAUAUCUCAGCAACUGUUGGGCCUUCGGGCCUUGGUAGCGCAGCUAACGCGUGAAGUUGACCGCCUGGGGAAUACGAUUAACAAGAUUAAAACUCAAAGGAAUUGACGGGGACCCGCACAAGCGGUGGAUGAUGUGGAUAAUUCGAUGCAACGCGAAAAACUGCCUACCCUUGACAUGUCUGGAAUCCCGAAGAGAUUUGGGAGUGCUCGCAGAGAACCCGGUCAGGGUGCUGCGUGGCUGUCGUCAGCUCGUGUCGUGAGAUGUGGUUAGUCCCGCAACGAGCGCAACCCUUGUCAUUAGUUGCUACGAAAGGGCACUCUAAUGAGACUGCCGGUGACAAACCGGAGGAAGGUGGGGAUGACGUCAGAUCCCUCAUGGCCCUUAUGGGUAGGGCUUCACACGUCAUACAAUGGUCGGGACAGAGGGUCGCCAACCCGCGAGGAGGCAAUCCCGAAACCCGAUCGUAGUCCGGAUCUAAGUCUGCAACUCGUGCAUUGAAGUCGGAAUCGCUAGUAAUCGCGGAUCAGCGUAAUGUCGCGGUGAAUACGUUCCCGGGUCUUGUACACCGCCCGUCACACCAUGGGAGUGGGUUUUGCAAGUAGUUAACUCUAACCGUAAGGAGGGCGAUUACCACGGUAGGAUUCAUGACUGGUGAAGUCAGCAACAAAGGUAA
This 1465-nucleotide ribosomal RNA is filed under the name uncultured Bordetella sp. RNAcentral's name for it is "partial 16S-23S ribosomal RNA intergenic spacer". It matches the Rfam family "Bacterial small subunit ribosomal RNA". The record is from RNAcentral. Lineage: Bacteria; Pseudomonadati; Pseudomonadota; Betaproteobacteria; Burkholderiales; Alcaligenaceae.